GAUGAAGAACGCAGCGAAAUGCGAUACGUAAUGUGAAUUGCAGAUUUCAGUGAAUCAUCGAAUCUUUGAACGCACAUUGCGCCCGCUAGUAUUCUGGCGGGCAUGCCUGUUCGAGCGUCAUUUCAACCAUCAAGCCCUAGGCUUGCGUUGGAGCCCUGCGGCUGCCGCAGGCUCCCAAAUCCAGUGGCGGGCUCGUCGUCGUACCGAGUGCAGUAAACAUCCUCGCUCAGGGAACGUGACGGGUUCUUGCCGUGAAACCCCCCACAUAUCAAGGUUGACCUCGGAUCAGGUAGGAAUACCCGCUGAACUUAAGCAUAUCAAUAACGGAGGA
RNAcentral lists this unclassified non-coding RNA (331 nucleotides) under soil metagenome. Its description in RNAcentral is "partial contains 5.8S ribosomal RNA, internal transcribed spacer 2, and large subunit ribosomal RNA". The stretch from base 1 to 120 matches the Rfam family "5.8S ribosomal RNA", at positions 35 to 154 of the family's 154-position model. The record is from RNAcentral.